GCCUAUGGCCAUACUACCCUGAACGCACUGGACCUCAUCUGAUCUUGGAAGCUAAGCAGGGCUGGCCCUGGUGAGUACUUGGAUGGGAGAAAAUAAAUACCAGAGGAA
Molecule: ribosomal RNA, 108 nt
Organism: Cricetulus griseus (Chinese hamster)
Lineage: Eukaryota; Metazoa; Chordata; Mammalia; Rodentia; Cricetidae
Source: Ensembl